GGGUCGUUAGCUCAGUUGGUAGAGCAGCGGACUUUUAAUCCGUUGGUCACUGGUUCGAAUCCAGUACGGCCCA
RNAcentral lists this transfer RNA (73 nucleotides) under Burkholderia sp. KK1. RNAcentral's name for it is "tRNA-Lys". It matches the Rfam family "tRNA". Rfam says of the family: Transfer RNA (tRNA) molecules are approximately 80 nucleotides in length. Their secondary structure includes four short double-helical elements and three loops (D, anti-codon, and T loops). The record is from RNAcentral. Lineage: Bacteria; Pseudomonadati; Pseudomonadota; Betaproteobacteria; Burkholderiales; Burkholderiaceae.